Molecule: ribosomal RNA, 327 nt
Filed under: uncultured eukaryote
Lineage: Eukaryota
Description: partial 18S ribosomal RNA
Rfam family: Eukaryotic small subunit ribosomal RNA
Source: RNAcentral
CCCUUAGAUGUUCUGGGCCGCACGCGCGCUACACUGAUGAAUGCAACGAGCUCUACCCUUGACCGAAAGGCCCGGGUAAACUUGUGAAACUUCAUCGUGAUGGGGAUAGAUUAUUGCAAUUAUUAAUCUUCAACGAGGAAUUCCUAGUAAGCGCGAGUCAUCAACUCGCGUUGAUUACGUCCCUGCCCUUUGUACACACCGCCCGUCGCUCCUACCGAUUGAAUGGUCCGGUGAAAUCUUCGGAUUGCUGACCAAGAUCCAGCAAUGGAGCUUGGUUGCGAGAAGUUGAUUAAACCUUAUUAUUUAGAGGAAGGAGAAGUCGUAACA